CCAAAGCUGGCGACCGGCGCACGGGUGAGUAACACGUAUCCAACCUGCCUCAUACUCGGGGAUAGCCUUUCGAAAGAAAGAUUAAUAUCCGAUAGCAUAUAUUUCCCGCAUGGGUUUUAUAUUAAAGAAAUUCGGUAUGAGAUGAGGAUGCGUUCCAUUAGUUUGUUGGGGGGUAACGGCCCACCAAGACUACGAUGGAUAGGGGUUCUGAGAGGAAGGUCCCACACAUUGGAACUCAGACACGGUCCAA
This 250-nucleotide ribosomal RNA is filed under the name uncultured bacterium. RNAcentral's name for it is "partial 16S ribosomal RNA". It matches the Rfam family "Bacterial small subunit ribosomal RNA", at positions 82 to 334 of the family's 1533-position model. The record is from RNAcentral.